Molecule: unclassified non-coding RNA, 182 nt
Filed under: Drosophila pseudoobscura pseudoobscura
Lineage: Eukaryota; Metazoa; Arthropoda; Insecta; Diptera; Drosophilidae
Description: GA25536
Source: RNAcentral
CUCUCAUAUCCCUUGGAUGGCUGUUGACUAAUAUCUCGCCGACAUUGUUGACAGCCCUGCACAGGGUAUCAUAGUUUAAGUCAGUGAUCAGUGCUCCUGAGGGUCCCAUAAUCGCGGUCAGUUCAUGAGAGCGAAAUUCACCAUUCACUUCCCGCAAAAUCUGCUUCGUCUUUUGGGCUGCA